Molecule: long non-coding RNA, 367 nt
Filed under: Homo sapiens (human)
Lineage: Eukaryota; Metazoa; Chordata; Mammalia; Primates; Hominidae
Description: non-protein coding lnc-CCDC28A-5:1
Source: RNAcentral
ACAGGCAUGAGCCACCGCGCCCAGGCCCAUGUCUCUAUUUCUAUUGCAACAAUGCCUCACUUUGCACCUAUGACCAACUGAUGGGGGAAGAUAUGACUUAGGCUUGGUUGUCAGAUGGGUCACUCAGGAUGUUGUUGUGAGCCACGAACGGACUGCUGGAACACACAACUCUACCCAAGAAUGGUGCAAAAGGAGAGCAGUAAGGGAAAAAUCCGUCCAGAGGCACAGCUAUGUGUGCUAAUGAAAUUUAGCAUUUUCUUUAAUUAUAUAGGUAGACAAUAAACCACAGUAAUACUGACAUUGUGAUGAAUAGAAAUCAUAAAUAUUUUCAUUUUACAUUAUUACUUAUGGCUAUCACUAUUUUGAA